CCCUACGGACGCAGCAGUGGGGAAUAUUGCACAAUGGGGGAAACCCUGAUGCAGCAACGCCGCGUGAGUGAAGAAGUAUUUCGGUAUGUAAAGCUCUAUCAGCAGGGAAGAGAAUGACGGUACCUGACUAAGAAGCCCCGGCUAACUACGUGCCAGCAGCCGCGGUAAUACGUAGGGGGCAAGCGUUAUCCGGAUUUACUGGGUGUAAAGGGAGCGUAGACGGUGCAGCAAGUCUGAUGUGAAAGGUCGGGGCCCAACCCCGGGACUGCAUUGGAAACUGUUGAACUGGAGUACAGGAGAGGUAA
RNAcentral lists this ribosomal RNA (305 nucleotides) under uncultured bacterium. Its description in RNAcentral is "bacterial SSU rRNA". It matches the Rfam family "Bacterial small subunit ribosomal RNA", at positions 337 to 660 of the family's 1533-position model. The record is from RNAcentral.